AUCUCCCAUAUACACAAGCGUAGAUACAUCUGAAUAAAUUACAGCAAUCAUGUGUACAUAUAUAAUCACAUUCUUUGGACGGGAAGUCUGCUGGGCAAGAAUUCAAGCAUCUCUCAUAGCAAGGAGUAGCAAGCACCAAAAUAUUGAGGCGUCGGGGAAGAGUACUCAGAGGGAGAGGAGGGAGAGAGGAGAGGAAUUGGUCUAGCCAUUUCUAAUAUAUACAGUAUAGUACUUGUAUUGAUAAGAAAACGUGUUAUACUUAUACUUCACCAUUGUUGGCCCAAAGAAGAGACUAUUGACUAUUUUUCAAACCCAGGCAACAUCUUGGUCGGCUUAAGUUUUUGACUGAAUUAAAAAAUUAGCCGGCAUUAAUCCAUUCUCAUCCCAACAUAAAGUAUAGCCGCCAGGGUAUAGUCCGUUUUUUUAUAUUUAUAGCCGGGCGGCUAUACUCUGUGGUUUGUAAAAAAUUCAAAUUUGAUAGCAUCGGCUAUACUCCGUGCUUGUUUUGGAAAAAAAUUCAAAUUUGAUUGUAUAGCCCCUCGGCUAUACUCUGUGCUUUUUAAAAAAAAUUUCAAAUUGGUAGUAUAGCCGUACGGCUAUGCUAUAUUUUUAAAAUUAAUAGUAUCGCCGAUCGGUUAUACUCUGUGAUUUUUAAAUAUUUUUUUUCAAAUUAAUAGUAUAGCCGUGCGGCUAUACUCCGUGGGGUUUUUUUUUUUUUUUUUGUUUUCUCAAAAUAAUAGUAAAGCCGGAAGGCUAUACGCUGUUUAUUUUAUAUUUAUUCAAAUUAAUAGUAUAGCCGAGCGGCUAUGCGCUGUUUUUUUAAUCUUUAUUCAUAUUAUACAUGUAAAUUUAUAGUAUAGCCAUGCGGCUAUACUUCGUGCUUUUUUAAAUAUUUUUUUCACAUUAAUAGUAUAGCCGUGCGGCGAGACCUCAUUUUUUAAUAUUUAUUCAAAUUAACAGUAUAGCACUCCGUUUUUUAAUAUUUAUUCAGAUUAAUAGUACUAGGGGUGGUUGCGGUUCGGUAACCGCGAAUUUUUAC
This 1039-nucleotide long non-coding RNA is filed under the name Prunus persica (peach). RNAcentral describes it as "long non-coding RNA (PPER_LNC001743)". Lineage: Eukaryota; Viridiplantae; Streptophyta; Magnoliopsida; Rosales; Rosaceae. The record is from RNAcentral.